RNAcentral lists this non-coding RNA (24 nucleotides) under Arabidopsis thaliana (thale cress). Lineage: Eukaryota; Viridiplantae; Streptophyta; Magnoliopsida; Brassicales; Brassicaceae. The record is from RNAcentral.
AGGUGACUCUCCUGAUGAUGAUGU